CCUACGGGUGGCAGCAGUGGGGGAUAUUGCACAAUGGGGGGAACCCUGAUGCCGCGACGCCGCUUGGGUGAAGAAGCGCCUCGGCGCGUACAGCCCUUUCAGCAGGGAAGAAAAUGACGGUACCUGACGAAUAAGCCCCUGCUAACUACGUGCCAGCAGCCGCGGUAAUACGUAGGGGGCAAGCGUUAUCCGGAUUUACUGGGGGUAAAGGGGGCGCAGACGGCGAUGCAAGCCAGGAGUGAAAGCCCGGGGCCCAACCCCGGGACUGCGCGUGGAACUGCGUGGCUGGAGUGCAGGAGGGGCAGGCGGAAUUCCUGGUGUAGCGGUGAAAUGCGGAGAUAUCAGGAGGAACACCGGUGGCGAAGGCGGCCUGCUGGACUGCAACUGACGUUGAGGCCCGAAAGCGUGGGGAGCAAACAGGAUUAGAUACCCUUGUAGUC
This 440-nucleotide ribosomal RNA is filed under the name uncultured bacterium. RNAcentral describes it as "partial 16S ribosomal RNA". It matches the Rfam family "Bacterial small subunit ribosomal RNA", at positions 338 to 795 of the family's 1533-position model. The record is from RNAcentral.